AUGAGACAAACUGAUAUUUUGAUUUGCUUGUUAGAUGCCAAGAGAAAUUCAAGAAAUCUCACUUUCAGCCAGGAAACAGAUCAGAAAGGAUUGAUUUCAGGAAAUUCUGGGUUUCAACAGCCAUCAACAAAAGUUUGGAAAUGUCAGCCCUGUGGUGAUGGCUGGCAGCAGCACGGGAAGCACUGCUACUCUUUCUCUAGAGAGCAGAUUCCGUGGAGCAGUUGUGAACUUCACUGUUCUCCUUUACGUUCAAGUUUUCUUAAGAUAAGCACGGAAGGAGAGAUGGUAAGGACAAGUAUGUAUGGCCACAUUUUAGUACACUUCUCCAGGAAGCAUCUCUGGAUUCUAUGCCUUCCCUCUUCUGAGACAACCAUGCCCACGCAUGGUACUGUAUAUACCCAUCAGGCUGUGCUGCUCUGUUUCGUAAGACCUGCCCCAGGUCCUGGUGUAAGGCCCCAGUCUGGCAGGGCUCUGCACGGCCGAGCCACAGCUGAACUCUUGCCUGUGUCUCCAGUCUCCUUCCUUACCAAUGACGGUGCAUCACGUCCAGUCUCCCGCCCACUUCCACGUGUUCCCUUUACAUCUCCUCAAAGGGUAAUUCAGUGUGCUCCAGACAGUCUGACUCCCCCUCCAACUUCUGUGAAACCCUCUCGCAUACAUCUCAUUUGUCAUAGAACCAGUCCACCCUGCAAAGAGUCUUUGGACCUCGUGACUCUUGUAGGAGCCCUUGGUGAGCCCUGGCUGAGCCCUGGCAUUUCAUCCUGCACUGGUCUCCUCUGUGACAUUUGCUCCCCUAACUGCUUUGCUCUUGGAUUCUCAGGAAGCAAGUCUGUUUUCAGUUCAAUACUCAAUGCCCAGCACAAUGCCUGGAAUAUCACAAUGCUUUCAUAAUGGUUGUUGUAUAAAUAUAUAAUUGGUUACUAGUUGUUGGCAAAGAAAUCUCAAGAGCAUUUUUAGUAUGGUGAUAUAAUUCCAGACAAAAUGAAAAUUCUCAGUAACUCUUAUUAUGGAACAAUCCCUUAAUCUCUGUACGCGUAGCCAACAAAAGAUGUCAGAUUUCACUUUUUCUGUUCUUAUUUUGUCCAGGAGUUUGUAAAAAGAAUGUCAAAGAAGCAGUGUUUUUUGUAUGAGGACAAGUUCGGGUUCAGUUUAUACUACAAUAGCAGCCAAAUGAAAUGGGUGUGGCUAGAUGGUUCAGCUUUUAUUCUGGACAAGUAAGUAUCCUCCUACUGUCUUAGAGCACCAAUUGCAGGAUGAGCACCUUACUUAGCUCAUUUCAUAUGAUCAGAUGUUAAAUUCCAUGUCUGGUCGUUUCAUGAAAAGUUAAAAGAGAAAUCAUUGGAUGAGGAGGAAACAUAACAAAGUACACUUAUUUCAGCAGCAUGCUAAGAAGUUUACUGAUGAAAUCUAAAUAAAUGUCCUGUCAAAUCUUAAGGGUUUUUAAUU
Oryctolagus cuniculus (rabbit) is the source of this 1446-nucleotide long non-coding RNA. NCBI's taxonomy places the organism in Eukaryota, Metazoa, Chordata, Mammalia, Lagomorpha, Leporidae. The record is from Ensembl.